Molecule: unclassified non-coding RNA, 347 nt
Filed under: Hevea brasiliensis (rubber tree)
Lineage: Eukaryota; Viridiplantae; Streptophyta; Magnoliopsida; Malpighiales; Euphorbiaceae
Source: RNAcentral
CUGUUCCUUGUUGAGGCAAAUUGUAUUUCUGAAAAACCGUUAGUGUUCGUUGAAAUGAACAUUUGGGUCAACAAGGAACAGAUAUCUAUAGCUUCACUAGUAUACAAAGAUAAUAUCUAGUACAAAUAUCAAACUUUCCCCAAACUACAAUGUUUAAACAAUUAUUUUUCCAGAUAUAGUCAAUAAAACUAACAAACAAAGCCAAAGUAGCAAUCACCACAAAAUGUAUGUCUUCCAAUUGCACAAUCAGUGAGUAGAGGAUGGAAAGACCAAAAGAACUAUAGGGAAAACAAUCUGCAUUACUUCAGAUCUUUCCAAGAACAGAGUCAAGAUCUGGAGACAGGCAG